GUGGGGAAUAUUGGACAAUGGGGGCAACCCUGAUCCAGCCAUGCCGCGUGAGUGAUGAAGGCCUUAGGGUUGUAAAGCUCUUUCGCUCGCGAAGAUAAUGACGGUAGCGAGAGAAGAAGCCCCGGCUAACUUCGUGCCAGCAGCCGCGGUAAUACGAAGGGGGCUAGCGUUGUUCGGAAUCACUGGGCGUAAAGCGUACGUAGGCGGAUCGUUAAGUCAGGGGUGAAAGCCUGGAGCUCAACUCCAGAACUGCCUUUGAUACUGGCGAUCUUGAGACCGGGAGAGGUGAGUGGAACUGCUAGUGUAGAGGUGAAAUUCGUAGAUAUUAGCAAGAACACCAGUGGCGAAGGCGGCUCACUGGCCCGGUACUGACGCUGAGGUACGAAAGCGUGGGGAGCAAACAGG
Molecule: ribosomal RNA, 405 nt
Filed under: uncultured bacterium
Lineage: Bacteria
Description: bacterial SSU rRNA
Rfam family: Bacterial small subunit ribosomal RNA
Source: RNAcentral